RNAcentral lists this long non-coding RNA (210 nucleotides) under Lathyrus oleraceus (garden pea). RNAcentral describes it as "Pisum sativum (pea) long non-coding RNA (PSAT_LNC018278)". Lineage: Eukaryota; Viridiplantae; Streptophyta; Magnoliopsida; Fabales; Fabaceae. The record is from RNAcentral.
AAUUGUCUCUAUAGAUUGAGCAUGAAAAAUAAAAUAAAAUAAAAAUUAACGAUCUCUUUACAUAAAAGCAUUCAAUAUCAGACAAAAUUUGAAAAAAAAAUUCAAAAGUUAAGAAUAAAUGGAUAAGCACAUAAAUUUAUAAAGAAUGAGAAAUGCUUCCCUAAUCCCUCAUAGACUCCAACAUAAAAAAAAAUCAACAAAAGACCAUUU